AAAUUGAAGAGUUUGAUCAUGGCUCAGAUUGAACGCUGGCGGCAGGCCUAACACAUGCAAGUCGAACGGUAACAGGAAACAGCUUGCUGUUUCGCUGACGAGUGGCGGACGGGUGAGUAAUGUCUGGGAAACUGCCUGAUGGAGGGGGAUAACUACUGGAAACGGUAGCUAAUACCGCAUAACGUCGCAAGACCAAAGAGGGGGACCUUAGGGCCUCUUGCCAUCGGAUGUGCCCAGAUGGGAUUAGCUAGUAGGUGGGGUAAAGGCUCACCUAGGCGACGAUCCCUAGCUGGUCUGAGAGGAUGACCAGCCACACUGGAACUGAGACACGGUCCAGACUCCUACGGGAGGCAGCAGUGGGGAAUAUUGCACAAUGGGCGCAAGCCUGAUGCAGCCAUGCCGCGUGUAUGAAGAAGGCCUUCGGGUUGUAAAGUACUUUCAGCGGGGAGGAAGGGAGUAAAGUUAAUACCUUUGCUCAUUGACGUUACCCGCAGAAGAAGCACCGGCUAACUCCGUGCCAGCAGCCGCGGUAAUACGGAGGGUGCAAGCGUUAAUCGGAAUUACUGGGCGUAAAGCGCACGCAGGCGGUUUGUUAAGUCAGAUGUGAAAUCCCCGGGCUCAACCUGGGAACUGCAUCUGAUACUGGCAAGCUUGAGUCUCGUAGAGGGGGG
This 671-nucleotide ribosomal RNA is filed under the name Escherichia coli. RNAcentral's name for it is "bacterial SSU rRNA". It matches the Rfam family "Bacterial small subunit ribosomal RNA", at positions 1 to 661 of the family's 1533-position model. The record is from RNAcentral. Lineage: Bacteria; Pseudomonadati; Pseudomonadota; Gammaproteobacteria; Enterobacterales; Enterobacteriaceae.